Molecule: non-coding RNA, 97 nt
Organism: Acanthosepion pharaonis
Lineage: Eukaryota; Metazoa; Mollusca; Cephalopoda; Sepiida; Sepiidae
Source: the annotation of a GenBank genome assembly
UUGGAACACCUGUUCCUGUACGAUCAUCGAAGUUAAGCAACAUCGAGCCUGGUCAGUACCGAGAUGGGUGACCGCUUAGGAAUACCAAGUACUGUAA